Molecule: ribosomal RNA, 253 nt
Filed under: uncultured bacterium
Lineage: Bacteria
Description: partial 16S ribosomal RNA
Rfam family: Bacterial small subunit ribosomal RNA
Source: RNAcentral
UACGUAGGGUGCAAGCGUUGUCCGGAAUUAUUGGGCGUUAAGAGCUCGUAGGCGGUUUGUUGCGUCGUCUGUGAAAUCCCGAGGCUCAACCUCGGGUCUGCAGUCGAUACGAGCAAACUAGAGUGUUGCAGGGGAGACUGGAAUUCCUGGUGUAGCGGUGAAAUGCGCAGAUAUCAGGAGGAACACCGGUGGCGAAGGCGGGUCUCUGGGCAACAACUGACGCUGAGGAGCGAAAGCGUGGGGAGCGAACAGG